GUGCUUGCUUUGGCAGCACAUAUAUAAAAAUUGGAAGAAUGCAGAGAUUAGCGUGGCCCCUCAACAAGGAUGACACAAAAAUCCAUGAAGCGUUCCAUUAAUUA
RNAcentral lists this small nuclear RNA (104 nucleotides) under Cercocebus atys (sooty mangabey). Lineage: Eukaryota; Metazoa; Chordata; Mammalia; Primates; Cercopithecidae. The record is from RNAcentral.